Molecule: ribosomal RNA, 519 nt
Filed under: Aptenocanthon sp. dgi1
Lineage: Eukaryota; Metazoa; Arthropoda; Insecta; Coleoptera; Scarabaeidae
Description: eukaryotic LSU rRNA
Rfam family: Eukaryotic large subunit ribosomal RNA
Source: RNAcentral
GGCGGGCCCCGCACUCCCGGGGCGUCUCGUUCUCAUCGCGAGAAGAGGCGCACCCAGAGCGUACACGCUGGGACCCGAAAGAUGGUGAACUAUGCCUGGUCAGGACGAAGUCAGGGGAAACCCUGAUGGAGGUCCGUAGCGAUUCUGACGUGCAAAUCGAUCGUCGGAACUGGGUAUAGGGGCGAAAGACUAAUCGAACCUUCUAGUAGCUGGUUCCCUCCGAAGUUUCCCUCAGGAUAGCUGGCGCUCGCCUUUGCGAGUCUCAUUCGGUAAAGCGAAUGAUUAGAGGCAUUGGGGUCGAAACGGCCUCAACCUAUUCUCAAACUUUAAAUGGGUGAGAUCUCCGGCUUGCUUAAAGCAUGAAGCCGCGAGAGAUCGGAUCACAGAGUGCCAAGUGGGCCACUUUUGGUAAGCAGAACUGGCGCUGUGGGAUGAACCAAACGCAGAGUUAAAGCGCCCAAAUCGACGCUUAUGGGAUACCAUGAAAGGCGUUGGUAACUUAAGACAGCAGGACGGUGG